Long non-coding RNA from Frieseomelitta varia, 674 nucleotides. RefSeq lists it as uncharacterized. The transcript is spliced from 2 exons. NCBI's taxonomy places the organism in Eukaryota, Metazoa, Arthropoda, Insecta, Hymenoptera, Apidae. The record is from RefSeq and is a predicted model, not a curated record.
UGGCGCCACGUUUCUAUUUCUUCUCUGUCGGUAAUGUCAGUUUCGACGUUUACUCCAUCAUCAUAAGUUGAGUAAUUUACAAAUUACACCGCAAAAACUAAGUUUUGGAUAGUUUUUAUGGUAUUUAUGGAAAAAAUUGGAUUGAUGAUCAGAUUUACAAAUAUUUAUUGUCAAAUUUUUGAUAUAAAUGUGUAUAAACAACAACUGCAGUUCAUUCCAUCUUUUUUUUUUCAACUUUUAGUACUUGAAAAUGUACAUAUACAUAAAAAUUCAUUCACCUGGCUCGAUAACGCAUUUUAAUAAUACGUUGCGUUAAAAUAAAGCGAAAUAUAUAAAAAAUAUUAUUCACAAUGUUUUCUUUAGCUCAGUACUAAUAAAAAACAGUUAUUUUUAAGGACACGUUUUGCAGGUAUUAAUAUUGUCUACAGAUUUGUGAAAAUAAUUAUUAUUAAUUGUCCCUAAUGUAUUAAUAUAAUCUAUCAUCAAAUUUUACUGCAUGAAUAUAAUCACAGAAAGUAGCCAUGGACUUACAUGAAGAACCAUAUUAUUUACGAUAACGCAAUGUAUGCUGCAAUUAUCGUGCACUCGUGUAAUCCCGUACUUAACUCAUUGUGCAAUUUUACAAAAAGCGAAACUGUUUAAAGUAAGUAAUCAUAUUUCUUGACAAACAUGUA